CAGUCGCCACGGGAACACGGAGGGAGCUAGCGUUGUUCGGAAUUACUGGGCGUAAAGCGCGCGUAGGCGGUUACUCAAGUCAGAGGUGAAAGCCCGGGGCUCAACCCCGGAACUGCCUUUGAAACUAGGUGACUAGAAUCUUGGAGAGGUCAGUGGAAUUCCGAGUGUAGAGGUGAAAUUCGUAGAUAUUCGGAAGAACGCCAGUGGCGAAGGCGGCUCACUGGACGACUGUUGACGCUGAGGUGCGAAAGCGUGUGGAGCAAACAGGAUUAGAUACCCCAGUAGUCCAUGUCUCUUAUAC
RNAcentral lists this ribosomal RNA (301 nucleotides) under uncultured bacterium. RNAcentral's name for it is "partial 16S ribosomal RNA". It matches the Rfam family "Bacterial small subunit ribosomal RNA", at positions 509 to 807 of the family's 1533-position model. The record is from RNAcentral.